CCUACGGGAGGCUGCAGUGGGGGAUAUUGGACAAUGGGGGCAACCCUGAUCCAGCCAUGCCGCGUGUGUGAAGAAGGCCCUCGGGUUGUAAAGCACUGUCAGUGAGGAAGAACGCCUGGUGGUUAAUACCCAUCAGGAAAGACAUCACUCACAGAAGAAGCACCGGCUAACUCCGUGCCAGCAGCCGCGGUAAUACGGAGGGUGCGAGCGUUAAUCGGAAUUACUGGGCGUAAAGCGCGCGUAGGUGGCUUGAUAAGCCGGUUGUGAAAGCCCCGGGCUCAACCUGGGAACGGCAUCCGGAACUGUCAAGCUAGAGUGCAGGAGAGGAAGGUAGAAUUCCCGGUGUAGCGGUGAAAUGCGUAGAGAUCGGGAGGAAUACCAGUGGCGAAGGCGGCCUUCUGGACUGACACUGACACUGAGGUGCGAAAGCGUGGGUAGCAAACAGGAUUAGAUACCCCAGUAGUC
This 465-nucleotide ribosomal RNA is filed under the name Vreelandella stevensii. RNAcentral's name for it is "partial 16S ribosomal RNA". It matches the Rfam family "Bacterial small subunit ribosomal RNA", at positions 338 to 795 of the family's 1533-position model. The record is from RNAcentral. Lineage: Bacteria; Pseudomonadati; Pseudomonadota; Gammaproteobacteria; Oceanospirillales; Halomonadaceae.